CAACCUGCCCUCAGAUGGGGAAUAACUACGGGAAGCCGUAGCUAAUACCGCAUGACGCCUCGGAAUCGCAUGAUUCUGAGAUCAAAGCCUUGGCGUCUGAGGAUGGGCCUGCGUUGGAUUAGGUAGUUGGUAAGGUAACGGCUUACCAAGCCUUCGAUCCAUAGCUGGUCUGAGAGGAUGAUCAGCCACACUGGCACUGAGACACGGGCCAG
Molecule: ribosomal RNA, 212 nt
Filed under: uncultured bacterium
Lineage: Bacteria
Description: partial 16S ribosomal RNA
Rfam family: Bacterial small subunit ribosomal RNA
Source: RNAcentral